Molecule: unclassified non-coding RNA, 291 nt
Filed under: Hevea brasiliensis (rubber tree)
Lineage: Eukaryota; Viridiplantae; Streptophyta; Magnoliopsida; Malpighiales; Euphorbiaceae
Source: RNAcentral
CAUUAAUUGACAAGUUAAGGAGCGCUGUGACAGCAUUUUCCUGAAUCAUUAUGUCAGUUGAUCGAAGAAAGUUAACUAACAAGUUAAUGGCCCCACAGCUUGCUAUAACAAUCCUAUUGUCCAUGUUGUGUUUGGCAAGUAGCCUGAGGUCAGCUGUUGCCUCUCUUUGAGUAUCAACUGAAUCACUUUUCAAGUCCUCAAUCAGCUUUCGAACUUUGGUUUCAACACCAGAAAGAUCAGCCCUCGUUUCCAUAGCAGGAGAAGAAACUAUCCUUGGAACAAGCCUAUCUG